This is a long non-coding RNA of Schistocerca americana (American grasshopper), 175 nucleotides long. RefSeq lists it as uncharacterized. Lineage: Eukaryota; Metazoa; Arthropoda; Insecta; Orthoptera; Acrididae. The transcript is spliced from 2 exons. The record is from RefSeq and is a predicted model, not a curated record.
CAAAGAAGUAACAAAUGAACACUUGUUUAUGUUAAGGGCACCUUUGUAGAUAUGUUGUGAGAAAACAGAUUUCAGGAGCCAUCUUGUCAGGAUGUGCUUGAAGAAAUGAGAGAGUGUUGCAGGAAGUGGGCACACAUUUCGCUUUGCUGUUCCGGUAUUGACAUAAGUGAUAAAG